GAUUAACGCUGGCGGCGUGCCUAACACAUGCAAGUCAAACGGACCUUUAAUGUUGAGAAUUCCGAUCCUUCGGGCGUCUCAAUAUUAAUGGUUAGUGGCGGACGGGUGAGUAACACGUUGGUACCUGCCCUCUAGUGGGGGAUAACUGCCCGAAAGGGUGGCUAAUACCGCAUGUGAUCCACGGAUCAAAGCAGCAAUGCGCUCCGGCGUCACCUUGAGAUGGCCUUGCGGUGCAUUCGCUAGUUGGUGGGGUAACGACCCACCAAGGCGACGAUGCAUAGCCGACCUGAGAGGGUGAUCGGCCACACUGGGACUGAGACACGGCCCAGACUCCUACGGGAGGCAGCAGUAGGGAAUCUUCCACAAUGGACGAAAGUCUGAUGGAGCAACGCCGCGUGAGUGAUGAAGGUUUUCGGAUCGUAAAACUCUGUUGUAAGGGAAGAACACGUACGAGAGGGAAUGCUCGUACCUUGACGGUACCUUACGAGAAAGCCACGGCUAACUACGUGCCAGCAGCCGCGGUAA
This 525-nucleotide ribosomal RNA is filed under the name uncultured bacterium. RNAcentral's name for it is "partial 16S ribosomal RNA". It matches the Rfam family "Bacterial small subunit ribosomal RNA", at positions 28 to 523 of the family's 1533-position model. The record is from RNAcentral.